RNAcentral lists this ribosomal RNA (406 nucleotides) under Escherichia coli. RNAcentral's name for it is "bacterial LSU rRNA". It matches the Rfam family "Bacterial large subunit ribosomal RNA", at positions 1336 to 1744 of the family's 2925-position model. Lineage: Bacteria; Pseudomonadati; Pseudomonadota; Gammaproteobacteria; Enterobacterales; Enterobacteriaceae. The record is from RNAcentral.
GCCGGAAGACCAAGGGUUCCUGUCCAACGUUAAUCGGGGCAGGGUGAGUCGACCCCUAAGGCGAGGCCGAAAGGCGUAGUCGAUGGGAAACAGGUUAAUAUUCCUGUACUUGGUGUUACUGCGAAGGGGGGACGGAGAAGGCUAUGUUGGCCGGGCGACGGUUGUCCCGGUUUAAGCGUGUAGGCUGGUUUUCCAGGCAAAUCCGGAAAAUCAAGGCUGAGGCGUGAUGACGAGGCACUACGGUGCUGAAGCAACAAAUGCCCUGCUUCCAGGAAAAGCCUCUAAGCAUCAGGUAACAUCAAAUCGUACCCCAAACCGACACAGGUGGUCAGGUAGAGAAUACCAAGGCGCUUGAGAGAACUCGGGUGAAGGAACUAGGCAAAAUGGUGCCGUAACUUCGGGAGAA